Molecule: ribosomal RNA, 103 nt
Filed under: Paramormyrops kingsleyae
Lineage: Eukaryota; Metazoa; Chordata; Actinopteri; Osteoglossiformes; Mormyridae
Source: RNAcentral
ACCUGCAGCUCUGACUACAGUAAUCCACCUGAAGCUAAGUAGGUUUAGGCCUGGCUAGUACUUGGAGGGGAGACCAACUAGGAAAGCAGUGUUGCUGCUGGAA